GACGAACGCUGGCGGCGUGCUUAACACAUGCAAGUCGAACGGAAAGGCUCCAGCUUGCUGGAGUACUCGAGUGGCGAACGGGUGAGUAACACGUGGGUAAUCUGCCCUGCACUCUGGUAUAAGCCUGGGAAACUGGGUCUAAUACUGGAUAUGACCUUUCUCCUUAUGGGGUUUGGUGGAAAGUUUUUCGGUGUAGGAUGAGCCCGCGGCCUAUCAGCUUGUUGGUGGGGUGAUGGCCUACCAAGGCGACGACGGGUAGCCGGCCUGAGAGGGUGAUCGGCCACAUUGGGACUGAGAUACGGCCCAGACUCCUACGGGAGGCAGCAGUGGGGAAUAUUGCACAAUGGGCGGAAGCCUGAUGCAGCGACGCCGCGUGAGGGAUGACGGCCUUCGGGUUGUAAACCUCUUUCAGCAGGGAAGAAGCGUAAGUGACGGUACCUGCAGAAGAAGCACCGGCUAACUAUGUG
This 467-nucleotide ribosomal RNA is filed under the name uncultured bacterium. Its description in RNAcentral is "partial 16S ribosomal RNA". It matches the Rfam family "Bacterial small subunit ribosomal RNA", at positions 28 to 507 of the family's 1533-position model. The record is from RNAcentral.